GGAAAGGAGGGCGAAAAUGGAGUUAGAGAUUUGGAUAUAAUGCAACAUUGGAAUGAGUAUAUAGGAGAAAAAAAAAUAUGUUAAAAAUAAUAGAAAGGAGAAAGAAUAAUUUUAGUGGGAGGGAAAUUAGAUAGAAUGUAAAUCUUCCUAUCCGUUUUCAUAGAUAUUUAAAUAUUUUCACCAAGUUUACAACAAAAUUUUCAAUUAGUAACUAUUUUCUUAAAUUUACAUAAAAAGUUUUACCAAAAAGUUUUUCAUUGGUAAUUAUUUUAUCAUCUAUUGAAAAAAUUUAAUUCAUUUUUUGUUUAUAUUUAUUAUUUAUCGACGGAUUAGCAACGGAAUUAUACCAAUGGAAAACUUCCGUUAGUAACUCUGUCUGUAAUUUAAUAUAUAAUUUUCAUUGAUAAUUAUUUUAUUCUUUUUAUCAUCCAAAUUUGUUGGUAAAUUAUUUAAUUUAUUUUUCAUUUGUUUUUAAUUAUUUACCAACAGAUUAACAUCGAAAUUGUAACAAUGGAAGACUUCCGUUGGGAACCCCAUCGAUAAUUUAAUAUUUACUUUUUAAAAAUAAUAAAAUAAUAAUUCGUUGCUAAUUUGUUAUUAAUUCAUUGGUAUUAGCAACAAAAGACUUCCAUCGCCAAAUUUCCAUCUCUGUUGCCUCCCUUUCUAGUAGUACUCAAAAUUCAGGCACGAUUUCAUCACCAGGUCUGAGAAUUGAUAUUGUUCAAGUUUUGUUGCAUAUAGCCUUACAAAAUUAGUUAAGUAUGUAAUGUAUUAUUGCAAUAAGACUACUUGUACACCCAAAUGUGUACAAUUUGGUUGACACUUUCUAUGUGUUAAAAAUCUAACCAUUGAUUGAAUAAAGUAUUUUUAAAAUCAAUAUAUUCAAAUUUGCCAACACACAGGAGUGUAAGCCAAAGUGUAAAUCAAGGUGUACAAAUAGCAUGGCUCAUCCUAACUUUUUACCAUCAGUACAUAAGUUUAUUGGUUCUUAUGAAGUGGGAUUGUUAAGCAGAGCAAUAUCAAAAGGCAAAUAAUAUUUUACAGCUCAAGCAUACCAAUCACUGUAACAACGUUUAUGCUACAAGUACGAGCUUUUUGCUCCCAGAUGAAGCACAUCUCAAUUGACUGCUGCUUUAUUUGAUGGAUAAAAAUUAUUGUACAUAAUU
Molecule: small RNA, 1166 nt
Filed under: Olea europaea subsp. europaea
Lineage: Eukaryota; Viridiplantae; Streptophyta; Magnoliopsida; Lamiales; Oleaceae
Source: RNAcentral